AUCAUUGUCAUAAAUUAUCAUUAGCUUUUUUUUAAUCGAUGUUGGUUUCCAAGGUUUGUAGAAUGGUUAUGGGCAAGUGGUUACAUAAUAGAUUGAUUAACCAACCUUGCUGGUAGGAGGAAAGAAAAAUAUCCACAGCAUACAUAACAUUUCCAAUGGGCUACCAUUGACAUGGGCAUUCAACUAAGAGUCUGGGUGGUUUGGCCCGAAAUCCCAU
Molecule: long non-coding RNA, 217 nt
Filed under: Elaeis guineensis (African oil palm)
Lineage: Eukaryota; Viridiplantae; Streptophyta; Magnoliopsida; Arecales; Arecaceae
Description: long non-coding RNA (EGUI_LNC027259)
Source: RNAcentral